CGGCACCUGCCGUGGGACAAGAUUGCUCCAUCCCUGAGGAGAAAAGUGCCGCCGUGUGAGGGAGAGGGAAAGAGCAUGCGCGCUGGCGAUCCACACGGCGAUUCCUGGACCGUUCGCGGGCCGGAUCUAGAAGGCAAUUGGGCCUGAUCCACCCCGCGGACCUUAGUUUGCCGACCCAUUAUCUUACUGGUGGCAAGUUAGAGGUACUAAAUAGCAUAGCCUUGGCUACUUGGUGAACACCUAGCUUCAUGCUGGGUUGGGGAAAGUUAAGGCAUUGCCUUGAAAGGCAACGAGAAGCAUGGGUACCAUUAGGGAUGGUGGGGUAUGUUGAUGUAGAUGUGAAGCUACAGGGAACCAAGCAGAGGGCCUUCUCGGUAGUGGCGCCCUCCCUGUGGAACGCCCUCCCAUCAGAUGUCAAGGAGAUGAGAAACUAACUUUUAGGAGACAUCUGAAGGCAGUCCUGUAUACAGAAGCUUUUCAAGGUCUAAUGCAGGGGUUAGCAACCUUUUUCAGCCGUGGGUCGGUCCGCCGUCCCUCACACCAUGUGGUAGGCCGGACUAUAUUGGGGAGGGGGAGGGGUGAACGAAUUCCUGUGCCCCACAAAUAACCCAGAGAUACAUUUUAAAUAAAAGCACGCAUUCUACUCAUGUAAAAACACGCUGAUUCCCGGACUGUCCAUGGGCCGGAUUGAGAAGGCAAUUGGGCCGCACCCGGCCCCCGGGCCUUAGGUUGCCUACCCCUGGUCUAAUGUUUUAUGUUUUUAUACAUUCAGGAAGACGCCCAGAGUAGCUGGGGUGACCGAGUCAGAUGCUUAGUAGGAUUCCCUCUGCAUCUAGAUCCAAAAAAAUAACGAAUGGUUAUGUUGUUUGUACGUUUUUCUUGCCAAAGGUCCAUCAGAGCCACAACGCCAGCUUCCCUCACCUUAAAAAACCAGUGCCAGGAACCAUUUCUGACAAAUGUGAAGCAAUGAUAACGAAGACAGCUUCUGACUAUGCACUUGGACGGUGUAGACAACACCCCCCCCCCAAAAAAAUCAUGAGAUCUAUAGCUUACCCCCUCACAGAGCUACAGUUCACAGCACCCUUAACAAACUACAAUUCCCAAUAUUCCUUGGGUGAAAAAUGUGAUUUACAUGUAUGAUGUGUGUGCAGUCAGUGUCAUCUCCCAGCUGCUUUUCCGCUUGGGAACGCUGUUUUCAAAUAUUUGAGCCGAAGGGCGGAGAUUUCAGCCCUAGGCAAUAUGCCUGGCAGGCACCCUCGAGUCACAGCACGUUUCUUCUUAGACAUGAAGCCCUGGGAAGCAGGGACUGCCUCUACUGAGUGUAUGAAUUGUCCCACAAACCAGGACCACAUUCUAGGGAAAGCAGAAUUCCCAGAUGGAGCCCUCGCUGCUCAUUCUUCUGGGAAGGAUGUAUUAUUCAUUAUUUUUAUUUUAUUUUAUCAACUGGAUUUAUGUAGCCACCCCACAGCAUAAGCUCUGUGGGCGGCUCACAAAACAAACGCAUCAAUUAAAAUGCAAUAUAAAACAGUAAACGAAUUAAAAGCUGAAAGCACAGGAUUGUGUUUGCUUACCCAGGAAUGCUCGGAAGCCACAGUAAAAGCUUGCCCGUAAAUGUUACGGUCAGGUAGCUGGGGGAUAAAGUGGUUGUGCAAUUCAGCUGGUAAAUUAAAUGGCCUCUGGGUUCUUCCAAUUCAUUUUUCUAGCAUUACAGUUUUGAAUGUAAAGAUCUGUUAAUUUGCAAAGCUUUAGUGGAGGAGGAAUGGAGCUCCAGGACUUUCUCUCUCUCUCUCUCUCUCUCUCUUUUUAAGAGCAGGGGGUAAUUGACAGAACCUCCCUGCUCUGGCAAGUAAAUGAAGUGAUGCUAAUGAAGUUUUCAAAUUUGUUUGUGACAGAUUAGAACAGAGGAAGGCGGAGAAUGUGGAACAUCGUCUGAGCAAAGCCUCUUUUCCUUUCCUUUGAUGGGGCUUCUAAUUCUUGAUGGUG
Podarcis lilfordi (Lilford's wall lizard) is the source of this 1983-nucleotide non-coding RNA. The record is from the annotation of a GenBank genome assembly. Lineage: Eukaryota; Metazoa; Chordata; Lepidosauria; Squamata; Lacertidae.